UGACCAGGUGUGUCCCAGGUGUGUCCAGGUGUGUCCCAGGUGUGUCCCAGGUGUGUCCAGGUGUGUCCCAGGUGUGCCCAGGUGUGUCCAGGUGUGCCCCAGGUGUGUCCCAGGUGUGUCCCAGGUGUGCCCAGGUGUGCCCAGGUGUGUCCCAGGUGUGUCCCAGGUGUGCCCAGGUGUAUCCCAGGUGUGUCCCAGGUGUGUCAGGUAUGUCCCAGGUGUGUCCCAGGUGUGUCCCAGUCUCGCGGUGUGAUGUCAUACCUUGCCUCAGGUGUCCCAAUCCAUUCCCAGGUGUGUCACUCACCUGACAUUUCCCCUCCCAGCACUGUCAGUCAGUCCUGGAGGGACGGACUUCAGUGACAGUGGGUCCUGGCAGGGUGAAUUUCAAUGGAGGUGGGUCCUGGCAGGGUGAAUUUCAGUGGAGGUGGGUCCUGGCAGGGUGAAUUUCAAAGGAGGUGGGUCCUGGCAGGGUGAAUUUCUGUGGAGGUGGGUCCUGGCAGGGUGAAUUUCAAAGGAGGUGGGUCCUGGCAGGGUGAAUUUCAAUGGAGGUGGGUCCUGCUGGGAUGGACUUUAGUGGAGGUGGGUCCUGGCAGGGUGAAUUAUUGUGGAGGAACUGAUGGAGGUGGGUCCUGGCAGGAUGAAUUUCUGUAGAGGUGGGUCCUGGUGGGAAGAACUUCAGUGCAGGUGGGUCCUGGCAGGAUGAAUUUUUGUUCGGGAACUUCAAUGGAGAUGGGUCCUGGCAGGAUGAAUUUCAAUGGAGAUGGGUCCUGGAAGGAUGAAUUUCUGGGGAGGAGCUGAUGGAGGUGGGUCCUAGCAGGAUGAAUUUCCAAGGAGGUGAGUCCUGGCAGGAUGGACUUUAAUGGGAGAACUGGUGGAGGUGGGUCCUGGCAGGAUGAAUUUCUGUGGAGGAGCUGGUGGAGGUGGGUCCUGGCAGGGUGAAUUUCAGUGGAGGUGGGUCCUGGCAGGAUGAAUUUCAAUGGAGGAAUUGGUGGAGGUGGGUCCUAGCAGGAUGAAUUUCAAUGGAGGUUGGUCCUGGUGGGAUGAAUUUCCAAGGAGGUGGGUCCUGGCAGGAUGGACUUUAAUGGGAGAACUGGUGGAGGUGGGUCCUGGCAGGAAGAAUUUCUGUGGAGGAGCUGAUGGAAGAGGCUCCAACCAUCAACCUCUGGCCAGGAGCUGAUGGAGAUGAGAUCCAGGUGGAGAUGGGAUCCAAAUGGAGAUGGGAUCCAAAUGGAGAUGGGAUCCUGGUGGAGAUGGGAUCCAAAUGGAGAUGGGAUCCAAAUGGAGAUGGGAUCCUGCUGGAGAUGGGAUCCAAAUGGAGAUGGGAUCCUGCUGGAGAUGGGAUCCUGGUGGAGAUGGGAUCCUGCUGGAGAUGGGAUCCUGGUGGAGAUGGGAUCCUGGUGGAGAUGGGAUCCAGGUGGAGAUGGGAUCCAAAUGGAGAUGGGAUCCUGGUGGAGAUGGGAUCCUA
Molecule: long non-coding RNA, 1465 nt
Organism: Serinus canaria (Common canary)
Lineage: Eukaryota; Metazoa; Chordata; Aves; Passeriformes; Fringillidae
Exons: 5
Source: RefSeq, a predicted model, not a curated record